AUUGAACGCUGGCGGCAUGCUUUACACAUGCAAGUCGAGCGGUAACAGGCCUUCGGGUGCUGACGAGUGGCGAACGGGUGAGUAAUGCAUCGGAACGUACCCAGAGGUGGGGGAUAACGCAGCGAAAGCUGUGCUAAUACCGCAUGUGAUCUGAGGAUGAAAGCGGGGGACCGAGCAGCAAUGUUUGGCCUCGCGCCUUUGGAGCGGCCGAUGUCGGAUUAGCUAGUUGGUGGGGUAAAGGCCUACCAAGGCGACGAUCCGUAGCAGGUCUGAGAGGACGACCAGCCACACUGGGACUGAGACACGGCCCAGACUCCUACGGGAGGCAGCAGUGGGGAAUUUUGGACAAUGGGCGCAAGCCUGAUCCAGCAAUGCCGCGUGCGGGAAGAAGGCCUUCGGGUUGUAAACCGCUUUUGGCAGGAACGAAACGGUGUCCGCUAAUACCGGGCGCUAAUGACGGUACCUGCAGAAUAAGCACCGGCUAACUACGUG
This 492-nucleotide ribosomal RNA is filed under the name uncultured bacterium. RNAcentral describes it as "partial 16S ribosomal RNA". It matches the Rfam family "Bacterial small subunit ribosomal RNA", at positions 29 to 507 of the family's 1533-position model. The record is from RNAcentral.